This 771-nucleotide ribosomal RNA is filed under the name uncultured bacterium. RNAcentral describes it as "bacterial SSU rRNA". It matches the Rfam family "Bacterial small subunit ribosomal RNA", at positions 8 to 796 of the family's 1533-position model. The record is from RNAcentral.
AGAGUUUGAUCCUGGCUCAGGACGAACGCUGGCGGCGUGCUUAACACAUGCAAGUCGAACGGAAAGGCCCUUCGGGGUACUCGAGUGGCGAACGGGUGAGUAACACGUGGGUGAUCUGCCCUGCACUCUGGGAUAAGCCUGGGAAACUGGGUCUAAUACCGGAUAGGACCGCAUGCUUCAUGGUGUGUGGUGCAAAGCUUUUGCGGUGUGGGAUGAGCCCGCGGCCUAUCAGCUUGUUGGUGGGGUAAUGGCCUACCAAGGCGACGACGGGUAGCCGGCCUGAGAGGGUGACCGGCCACACUGGGACUGAGAUACGGCCCAGACUCCUACGGGAGGCAGCAGUGGGGAAUAUUGCACAAUGGGCGCAAGCCUGAUGCAGCGACGCCGCGUGAGGGAUGACGGCCUUCGGGUUGUAAACCUCUUUCAGUAGGGACGAAGCGAAAGUGACGGUACCUACAGAAGAAGGACCGGCCAACUACGUGCCAGCAGCCGCGGUAAUACGUAGGGUCCGAGCGUUGUCCGGAAUUACUGGGCGUAAAGAGCUCGUAGGUGGUUUGUCGCGUUGUUAGUGAAAACUCACAGCUUAACUGUGGGCGUGCGGGCGAUACGGGCAGACUAGAGUACUGCAGGGGAGACUGGAAUUCCUGGUGUAGCGGUGGAAUGCGCAGAUAUCAGGAGGAACACCGGUGGCGAAGGCGGGUCUCUGGGCAGUAACUGACGCUGAGGAGCGAAAGCGUGGGUAGCGAACAGGAUUAGAUACCCUGGUAGUCC